This 253-nucleotide ribosomal RNA is filed under the name uncultured bacterium. RNAcentral's name for it is "partial 16S ribosomal RNA". It matches the Rfam family "Bacterial small subunit ribosomal RNA", at positions 524 to 776 of the family's 1533-position model. The record is from RNAcentral.
UACAGAGGCCUCGAGCGUUAGGCGGAAUCACUGGGCUUAAAGCGCGUGUAGGCGGCAACGCAAGUCGGGCGUGAAAUCCCACGGCUCAACCGUGGAAGUGCACUCGAAACUGCGUAGCUAGAGUCCUGGAGAGGAAGGUGGAAUGCUUGGUGUAGAGGUGAAAUUCGUAGAUAUCAAGCGGAACACCGGUGGCGAAGGCGGCCUUCUGGACAGUGACUGACGCUGAGACGCGAAAGCGUGGGGAGCAAACAGG